Molecule: transfer RNA, 74 nt
Filed under: Anaerobutyricum hallii
Lineage: Bacteria; Bacillati; Bacillota; Clostridia; Lachnospirales; Lachnospiraceae
Description: [Eubacterium] hallii tRNA-Arg
Rfam family: tRNA
About the family: Transfer RNA (tRNA) molecules are approximately 80 nucleotides in length. Their secondary structure includes four short double-helical elements and three loops (D, anti-codon, and T loops).
Source: RNAcentral
GUGGGCAUAGCUCAGCUGGAUAGAGCGUUUGGCUACGGACCAAAAGGCCGGGGGUUCGAAUCCUCUUGCCCACG